CACGCAGUUCGACACCGCACUGGGCUGGUCACCGCGUCCCGGGCCGGCGAUGGUCCUGCGGUUCGCGCUCUGCGCGGUGGUGCUGUUCGUCUUCGCCGCACCGUUCCCGACGAUCAUCUCCGGUGCCUUCAACGAGACGACCGACUCGACCCAGGUGAGCCUGUUCCCGUCGGACCCGACGCUGCUCGGCUUCCGCAACGCCGCGGAGAAGGGGGUCUGGGGCUACUUCCUCAACUCGCUG
RNAcentral lists this unclassified non-coding RNA (241 nucleotides) under plant metagenome. RNAcentral's name for it is "partial contains 5.8S ribosomal RNA, internal transcribed spacer 2, and large subunit ribosomal RNA". The record is from RNAcentral.